CACACACCCGCGUACGCACCUACCCUGCGGGGCAGUCCCUUCCCAAGCCAAGGGUUCAGCGCGGAGGUGCGGGCAGUAGACGCGCGCGUGCGCCCGGGGGCCGCUCAUCCCGAGGCCGCCUCUGCGCGUCCCCUGCACCGUGCGGGCGCCGCCAGAAGGAGGCCGGCGCGGAGCGGAGCCCGGGGAACGUGAGUCCUGACCGGCCGUUCCCCUCCGCUCUCACAGCCGGGCUCCGCGCUGCGGGCAGAUGCAGAAACUGAGGCACUGAGACUGCCAGCAGCGUGCAGUGGUGGGAAUGUCCCCAAGGCAGAAGUGAAUCAAGAUUCUUAGAUGAUGAGAGCUCCACUGAAAUAAGAAAGGUGCACUAAGUGAGGAAACAGACAUUGAACACCUACUCUGCCAGGAACAUCAGAACAGGAAGGUACAUCCUUAACAGCAGUAAUUAAGGACUUAGCGAGCUCUCUGUUUCACCAACCAACCCUUAAAGUCAACAAUCUCCUACUCAUCCAUUGGCACAUGUUUUCCUGAGUGAUAAUUGCCUCUCUUCCCACAGAUAUUGGUGUGCAUGGGUGCUCAGCUGUUCAGGCACGUCUGUCUCUUUACGACUUCUUGGACAGUAGCCCACC
Capra hircus (goat) is the source of this 626-nucleotide long non-coding RNA. RefSeq lists it as uncharacterized. The transcript has 4 exons. The record is from RefSeq and is a predicted model, not a curated record. Lineage: Eukaryota; Metazoa; Chordata; Mammalia; Artiodactyla; Bovidae.